GAAUCUUAUAGACCAUCAUUAUUGGUACUAUGAAUAUGAAAAAAAAAAAAAAAAAAGUUUAUAUCUUUAACUUUCAAAAAGUGUAUACAAAACAUGUGUGUCAUUUUUUUAUUUCAUUUUAUAGAGGGUUUACAAUUGGAUGUUGAUCGUUUCAGGCAUAAUUUCAAUUUUUAUUGUUUUUGAAGGAAUAUUUACUUAUCCCUUAAAAGAUUUAUUUUUGAUGAUAAUUUAUUCCGCAUUGACAUGGGCUAAUGCUGUAUCUUGUUGGAAAGUUACACAAGUAUUAUUUACUGGAAGACGCAGUCAAGACACUCUUUUAGAUAGCCUAAGUACACAAAAAAAAAAAUAAUUACUUUUUUUCAUUUUUUGAUAAAUAUAGUUAUAAAUAUAUUAAUGGGCAAACUAAUAUUGAGGAAAUAUACAUAAAAUUAUGUUUUUUUUACAUAGUACAAACUAUUUU
RNAcentral lists this long non-coding RNA (460 nucleotides) under Piliocolobus tephrosceles (Ugandan red Colobus). RNAcentral describes it as "lncRNA (ENSPTEG00000000415.1)". The record is from RNAcentral. Lineage: Eukaryota; Metazoa; Chordata; Mammalia; Primates; Cercopithecidae.